Molecule: ribosomal RNA, 469 nt
Filed under: uncultured bacterium
Lineage: Bacteria
Description: partial 16S ribosomal RNA
Rfam family: Bacterial small subunit ribosomal RNA
Source: RNAcentral
GACGAACGCUGGCGGCGUGCUUAACACAUGCAAGUCGAACGAUGAAGCCUUAGCUUGCUUUGGUGGAUUAGUGGCGAACGGGUGAGUAACACGUGAGCAACGUGCCCAGGACUCUGGAAUAACCGCGGGAAACCGUGGCUAAUACCGGAUAGGUGCCGAGGCCGCAUGGUCUUCGGUUGGAAAGUUUUUGCGGUUCUGGAUCGGCUCACGGCCUAUCAGCUUGUUGGUGGGGUAAUGGCAUACCAAGGCGACGACGGGUAGCCGGCCUGAGAGGGUGACCGGCCUCACUGGGACUGAGACACGGCCCAGACUCCUACGGGAGGCAGCAGUGGGGAAUAUUGCACAGUGGGCGCAAGCCUGAUGCAGCAACUCCGCGUGGGGGAUGGCGGCCUUCGGGUUGUAAACCUCUUUUAGUAGGGAAGAAGCGCAAGUGACGGUACCUGCAGAAAAAGCACCGGCUAACUACGUG